ACGGGGACCGUGGUGGUCUCAGUGUCAGCAGGCACUGUUGGCGUGACGGUGUCGGCGGGCGUGGUCAUCUCUGCAGACACAAACAGAACAAAUUACUGAUGGGGAGUUUCUCCUCGGCCGGGUCAGGAAACACAGAUGUGAGAGGAAGCGAUAAGACACGGCGUGCAGAAAGAAAACGGAAAGUAAUGAGGUGAAGUGUCUUUAAAGAGCGUCUGCACGUUCGGCCCUUUAUUCCCAGGAUCCAGAUAGCAAAGGAAGCAGCUUACAG
Molecule: long non-coding RNA, 268 nt
Organism: Labrus mixtus (cuckoo wrasse)
Lineage: Eukaryota; Metazoa; Chordata; Actinopteri; Labriformes; Labridae
Exons: 2
Source: RefSeq, a predicted model, not a curated record